RNAcentral lists this ribosomal RNA (253 nucleotides) under uncultured bacterium. RNAcentral's name for it is "partial 16S ribosomal RNA". It matches the Rfam family "Bacterial small subunit ribosomal RNA", at positions 524 to 776 of the family's 1533-position model. The record is from RNAcentral.
CACGUAGGGGGCAAGCGUUGUCCGGAUUUAUUGGGCGUAAAGAGCUCGUAGGCGGCUCGGUAAGUCGGGUGUCAAAUCCUCAGGCUCAACCUGGGGCACCACCCGAUACUGCUGUGGCUAGAGUCCGGUAGGGGAGCGUGGAAUUCCUGGUGUAGCGGUGAAAUGCGCAGAUAUCAGGAGGAACACCAGCGGCGAAGGCGGCGCUCUGGGCCGGAUCUGACGCUGAGGAGCGAAAGCGUGGGUAGCAAACAGG